GUUCGCCGGCUGGGAUCCGAUCCAUUGUCCUGGGUGGUGGGCAAAACACAGGAUCCGCUUCAGGAAAGUCGUAUUCCUGGUCGUAUUGAUGGACGGUUAUCCAUCAUCUCAAAGUGCCGAUCCAUUCCAGCCCAACUUCAGCCGGUGGAAAGGCCUUAGCCAGCGUGUGUGUGGGUACAACUUAUGAGCUGUCACUACAAAGUGCAGAGCCUUGCCGGAAACUGACAACCAGGGAAUGACUGACACUGACACUGCAGUGAGAAUGUGUUUUGGACUGGAUGGGCAUGGGGAGGCCUGGUACUUGAUGAAUAUAUGGAAGCAGGGCACCAGUUGUGCCAGAGCACCGGAUGUGCUGUAACUGUAAUCCCAGUUCACCCACUGGGCGGCCCAGUCAAGGACCAUGCCAAGCAGGAACAGGAUGCCACCAUGUUUCUCCUAUAAGACCACUCUUCCUGACAUCAGACUUCCUCCUGACUCCAGACAGAUGUUGGCCACAGCCUUUUAAGCUCAGUGUCUUAGAGCAUGUAGAGACCUUACCAUUCUAUACUGAAGUUUACAAUUAACUUUACACUACGGAAACCUAUAGGGUCAAGGUCAAAAAGGCACAGGAGGAAUUUAAAAUGAAGGGUGACAUAAAUUAAAGGGUGUCCUUAAAGAUGUGGAUGGGAAGUAGGUAGAUGUGUUCUAGGUCUGUGUGUUUUUCGUCUGCUGUAGUUUAGUGUUAAUAUGGAGGGUGAAGACAGAUGUAGCAGAUUUCAGUCUGAAAGCUAGCUUAGCUUCCGGCAUAGAAGUAAAUGUGGCUCAAAAGUGGUUAGGUUUCAUUGUUUAAAUGUUAAGGAUACUGUUGGUUGACUUCAGAAUGUAUAGUGCUUGUAUUGCACAUAAAUAGUAUUGGUACAUAGUACACAUUAACCUAUCAUGUAUAAAACGGCCAUGCUAGGCAUCUUACUAGUAUAGUUUUUACAUACAGCUCAUUAAUAAGUUAACUUCACAGAAACGAACUACCUGUUCCUAUUCAAUAUUACCUCUUCCACCUUGCCAUGAUACCAUAAUCACAACAGAAUAACUUACACCAAAAUCAAACAUUUAAACAUUGGUUAAAGUCUUAUCAGUUCAGUAUCUGUCCUUUCAGCAACUUUUACAGCCUCUCCCAGAUUUACAGUUGGGGUCAAAUCCCUUGUUAUUCCCAGUCUCAGUGGAUUUAUAGAGUUUUGGCC
Long non-coding RNA from Oncorhynchus keta (chum salmon), 1217 nucleotides. RefSeq lists it as uncharacterized. The record is from RefSeq and is a predicted model, not a curated record. The transcript has 4 exons. NCBI's taxonomy places the organism in Eukaryota, Metazoa, Chordata, Actinopteri, Salmoniformes, Salmonidae.